This 1410-nucleotide unclassified non-coding RNA is filed under the name Manduca sexta (tobacco hornworm). RNAcentral describes it as "serine/arginine-rich splicing factor 2, transcript variant X1". The record is from RNAcentral. Lineage: Eukaryota; Metazoa; Arthropoda; Insecta; Lepidoptera; Sphingidae.
CCGUUUGAUUUCAUCCGGCCGCCAUAUUAAUUUACCGCUUGGCUUGUACAUACGUGCGACGAAAUAGAACGGCCUUUCUUUAAUGUGACGCCAUUUUAAGUGUGUGAUAGGGGAAUAAAAUUAAGUGAAAACAAUAAUAAAAUAGAUCAAAAUGAGUUACGGAAGGCCACCGCCGCGGAUUGACGGCAUGGUGUCGCUCAAAGUGGAUAAUUUGACCUAUAGAACGACGCCUGAAGAUCUUCGUCGCGUGUUCGAAAGAUGCGGAGAUGUCGGUGAUAUCUAUAUUCCUAGAGACCGGUACACAAGAGAAAGCCGUGGAUUUGCAUUUGUCAGGUUUUUCGACCGACGUGAUGCGGAAGAAGCGUUAGAUUCCCUGGAUGGACGCAUGCUGGAUGGCAGGGAGUUGCGCGUGCAGAUGGCCCGCUAUGGGCGUCCGUCUUCGCCAUAUAGAAGCCGAUACGAUCGUCGACGCAGGUCCCGAUCCCGUUCGCGGAGGCGUUCGUACUCGCGUAGCCGUAGCCGCAGCCGUUCGCGGUCCCGGUCGCGCUCUGACUCCAAGAGCUCGCGUGGCCGCUCUCGCAGCCGCAGCCGCUCGCGAUCCCGCUCCAGGCACUGAGAUAUUGGUUGAGUGAGAGAGUACCGUUAGUGAGCUGAAGUGCUGUUACCACAUGACUGAGCAGCCUUUAGCAAAGGGCGUGAGGAGAGCGCGGGGAGCGAGGCUGUAUGCGGGGAGGGGUGUGGGUUGUUGCUGUUGUUUGCGGUUGCUGACAACUGCUGAAUUGCUGUUUUUGCAGAAUGAAAGUUAUGAGUAAACAUUUAUAUUAUUGACGAGCCGAGACACGCAUUAAAUAGGAACAUUAAACACAUUAACAAAAAUGAAGACUUCAACUUUGAGGUAACAAGUGGUUCUGAUUGCCCGUAAAACAAUGUAUAGAUUCAUUUUAAUCCAUACAUACUAUUAUAUACAAUACUUUGCAGUUAAGUUUGAAAAUGUCAGCACGGCAAUUAUCCAUAAAAUUAAACUGAUUCACAUUUUGAGCUUACUAUGUUAAGUGUUAAAGAUCGAAGUAUGGAGAUGGAGGCUGAUGAGCAGAGUCCAAACUAACAUUUACAUUUGUUUGGCAGGCCGGUGCUGCUCGCUGGCCUGUUUGCUGUGGCAGUUUCCUGUUCCGAUUGCUGUGAUUUCCAGAUUUGCGCGCGUCUAGGUUUAUCGGUAAAAAAUAUAAAACCCUCCCUGCCCUCCAGACAAGAGUACAUUUUGCUAUUUAACCUCUUAAAUGAUUUUUGUACAUGGUAAGAGAAAUAGGUAUGUUUGUAAAGAUAGAAGAAAGAAGAAUCAUUACAUUCGCAGGCGCCUGGCACUGGAUUCUGUGUAGUUUUACUUACCGUCAAUAAAACUAUCUUACAUGA